CUACGGGUGGCUGCAGUAAGGAAUAUUGCGCAAUGGAGGCAACUCUGACGCAGCCAUGCCGCGUGCAGGAAGAAGGCCUUAUGGGUCGUAAACUGCUUUUAUUUAGGAAUAAACCCCCGAACGUGUUCGGGGCUGAAGGUACUAAACGAAUAAGCACCGGCUAACUCCGUGCCAGCAGCCGCGGUAAUACGGAGGGUGCAAGCGUUAUCCGGAUUUAUUGGGUUUAAAGGGUGCGCAGGCGGGCUAUUAAGUCAGUGGGUGAAAUCCCGGGGCUCAACUCCGGAACUGCCAUUGAUACUGAUAGUCUUGAGUUUGGUUGAAGUGGGCGGAAUGUAGCAUGUAGCGGUGAUAUGCAUAGAUAUGCUACAGAACACCAAUCGCGAAGGCAGCUCACUAAGCCAAAACUGACGCUCAUGCACGAAAGCGUGGGGAUCAAACAGGAUUAGAUACCCCUGUAGUC
RNAcentral lists this ribosomal RNA (460 nucleotides) under uncultured bacterium. RNAcentral's name for it is "partial 16S ribosomal RNA". It matches the Rfam family "Bacterial small subunit ribosomal RNA", at positions 339 to 795 of the family's 1533-position model. The record is from RNAcentral.